ACCCACCUCGGGAUCCCCUCCUGAUCCAUUCCAACCAACCAGAUCGCACCGACCGCCCCCUCGUUUUCAGCUUCGAACCAACCCGAGCCCCCUCGAUCCACUCCUCGCCCGAGCCUCGAGCUCCUCCUCAUCCCCGUGUUCGCCCUGACGCCCGAGCGAGGAGUUCCCCUCGGCCCCGUUGCCUGCAGCUCCUCCAGGCCUCCCGUCCGCUGUCACCCGUGCUCCCGCGACCGGAGCCCAUGACCAGCAGCGCCGCCAUGGGGACCUCGCAGGAGCUUUGCGCGGGAUGCCUCCUCGCCCUCCCUCUUCCCCUUCCUCCCGCGACCGGAUCCGGUCACCCCAACGCCCUACACCCUCGUGCCCCCGUCGGACCUCCUUCCUCCAUGCCAAGUCCCACCGGCGCCAUGUCCCACCUUCGCCUCCGACCUCGUAUCCUCCCGCUCGCCUGCAAAUGACGCGAGGCGUCUCUACCUCCUUGCGUUGGCCAUCGCUAGGCCUCAACGCCCUGAAGCCGUACAUCACCACUAGGGAGGCGUCCCUCGUCCCGCCUCUUCUUGCCGGCUUCGCCAGCCCCUCGGGAAGCAACCGGUGGAGCAGCUCGCUGUCGGGAGACCCCUCCUCGACCUCUAUCGUGCCCAGUUUCUCGCCCUUCGUCCUUCGCCGCCGCGCAGGAGAUCCCCGACGCCGCUGCUCUGCUUCUGCACCCUGUCGAGCAUAGGACCGCGCCCGCAACCCCUGUCUCGCUCGCUCGUCCCGAGCGUUGACCACGACCGCACGCGCCUAGGCCAGCCUCGCCUCGGCCCAGCUGGCUCUGCCUGGCCCAAGCCUCUCCACUGACUAGGCCUUGGCCCAUGGUGAGCAGCCCAGUCCAGCGCCAGCCUGGACGAGUGCCACUUGCCGCGCGAGGCCUCCUCUACUUCGCUCGCAGCCCAGCUACCCAGCGCCUCCUAAGGCCCAAUGUCUGGUAAUGUUGCGGAUUGUGAGGAUUCAUUCGACUAUGCCCGUUCGUCUACUUCAUG
This is a long non-coding RNA of Triticum aestivum (bread wheat), 1019 nucleotides long. RefSeq lists it as uncharacterized. The transcript is spliced from 4 exons. The record is from RefSeq and is a predicted model, not a curated record. Lineage: Eukaryota; Viridiplantae; Streptophyta; Magnoliopsida; Poales; Poaceae.